Molecule: transfer RNA, 73 nt
Filed under: Anguilla anguilla (European eel)
Lineage: Eukaryota; Metazoa; Chordata; Actinopteri; Anguilliformes; Anguillidae
Description: tRNA-OTHER
Source: RNAcentral
AGCACGGUGGUGCAGUGGGUAGCACUGUUGUCUCACAGCCAGAAGGUCCUUGGUUCAAAUCAGUGUAGAGUUU